Non-coding RNA from Heteronotia binoei (common prickly gecko), 78 nucleotides. The record is from the annotation of a RefSeq genome assembly. Lineage: Eukaryota; Metazoa; Chordata; Lepidosauria; Squamata; Gekkonidae.
GGGGAUGGGACGGUGGCUCAGUGGUAGAGCAUCUGCUUAGGAAGCAGAAGGUCCCAGGUUCAAUCCCCGGCAUCUCCA